UGGCUAUCAACGACAUGCUGAACCCCUGCGUUGACUCCCACACGCGUGGGAUUUCAGCACUUGAGGCGCGCUCGGUAUCGAGGAGGGCUUUGCCAGCGGCAGGAACGGCACAGCUAUGAUCAGCUAGAUGCUCGCGCUCUCCUCGUCAUCUAUUAGCGCCGCCUCCCCACUGUUGUGCACAGGUGCUGGUUUUCUGUGCUGUUCUGUGCACUACGAGUUGAAGCUGUUUUCCGCAUUUCGUUUUUCGUGGCUUUGGUCAUGCUCAUCGCUGCAUUCGCAUGCUCUCGAUUUAGUUUUUCUGUCCAUGGGUCUUUUUGUUAGGAAGAUUCGUACGAGACGUACUUUACGUGUCCGCUUGUAGCCCUGACGACGAGUACUAGGGUCGCGAUCUACGCUCGCUGUCCAGGAGCUCCCCCUUCUCUCUUUCUCUGGAGGCCGCCACGCUCCUCACCGUGCGUCCAUCUCUCUCACGCACUCUGCCACUAUUUUGCAUCGCUCACGUGAAGUAAUACGAGGUGCCCGCCGUGCGCUCUCGCACGCUAACCGCUGCGUACGGGCGCUCGUCCCCCUCACGCACACACACACACACACACGUCCCUGCGCUGCGUGUGCUCUUCUACGCCUCAGCCCCCUUAAAAGGCGUUUAGGAAAGCAAUGGUGAAGAGGCGUCACCAAAAAGACGCAGGCCGGCGGCGUGCCUUCUUCGCGUCAUCGUCUUUCACCUUUUUUUUCUCCGCGGCAAAUCUACUAGACGCCCCCUUCACGAGUCCCGUGGCUGCCCCCCCCCCCGCUCCUUCCUUCGGUAUCUAACGUGGCAGGUCGGCGGGACGUCUAUGAUUCGGUGUAUCGUUUUUUGUUUUGGGUGCUGAGGGGGAAGCUGGCAUUUGUGUUGUUGUUACUCUGGAUGAGCUCUCGGUUUCUCUGGAGCUCGCCUCUGUGUUUACCAUUCUGCUUUCUGGGGGGUUGUUCUCUCCAUACCUCCCCGGCUUGGCUGCUUUUUGGGUGGCUUGUGGUUUCCCACGUGUCUCUUAGCGUCUUGUGUGGCUUGCUGGCACUGCACACAUCGCCUCCCAUCACCCCGGGAGGUGGGUAACACGUAUCAUGCGCAGCACACGAGCCUCCGUCUUUCUUUUCUUGGGAGGCGGAAGAGUCCCUCUUUUCUCUCCUUGUUUCGUGUUAUUCUGCUCGUCUCUUUAUUGUUGUGUUUUCGUGACGACGUCUGCAUGGCAGGCUGUGAGGUGGCCGGUGUUGUGUGUUUUGCCUGCGCGCUUGUGAGCAUCCUCGGCACACGUCACUGUUUCCUUGCUCAGGUGGUGCUUCUCUUUGUGAGGUAAGCAGAUAUGUGAGUCACUCUUUUCUUUUUUUUUGAGCAGGUGCGCGUGGGUUUGCUUGUGUGCCCUGCAUCUGAAGUGCUGGUGCGCCGAGUCCCGACGAGCUGGUCUUCUGCUACGACCGCCUAAUUAUGAAAGCGAAUCCGCUCCUUGACGUCCCCUCCCCGUAAGCUGGACACUGCUUGCCAGCCCAAGGCACGAGAACGAAAAAAAAGUAAAAGGAAAAGGAAGCACUGGCUUUCACGCUGUACAUGUGCGCAAUGUGCUACUCCGCCGGCCACAUCAUAUUCACCUUCGCUGCGAGGGGUGUCACUCUCGGGAGGUCUGUAAGCGAACGCUUCGGUCUCUCGAGGGUGCUGCCGUAGUGACUCUGCCCCUUCUCAACUCAGACUCCGACGCCCUUGCUUGCGUAGUGUCACUCGAUAGCGUACGCCUGACUUCACUCUCAGAGACCGCCAGUUCUUACUCCGCUGCUCCUUGCGUCUCUCCAACUCUCUGCCGCACCCACCUCUUUGCCUCCCGCGGCGUCUCUGACGUGUCUCUCUUGUGGGCUCG
This 1886-nucleotide unclassified non-coding RNA is filed under the name Leishmania donovani. Its description in RNAcentral is "gene:unknown". Lineage: Eukaryota; Euglenozoa; Kinetoplastea; Trypanosomatida; Trypanosomatidae. The record is from RNAcentral.